GAUUAGAUACCCUGGUAGUCCACGCUGUAAACGAUGUCGACUUGGAGGUUGUGCCCUUGAGGCGUGGCUUCCGGAGCUAACGCGUUAAGUCGACCGCCUGGGGAGUACGGCCGCAAGGUUAAAACUCAAAUGAAUUGACGGGGGCCCGCACAAGCGGUGGAGCAUGUGGUUUAAUUCGAUGCAACGCGAAGAACCUUACCUACUCUUGACAUCCAGAGAACUUGGCAGAGAUGCCUUGGUGCCUUCGGGAACUCUGAGACAGGUGCUGCAUGGCUGUCGUCAGCUCGUGUUGUGAAAUGUUGGGUUAAGUCCCGCAACGAGCGCAACCCUUAUCCUUUGUUGCCAGCGCGUGAUGGCGGGAACUCAAAGGAGACUGCCGGUGAUAAACCGGAGGAAGGUGGGGAUGACGUCAAGUCAUCAUGGCCCUUACGAGUAGGGCUACACACGUGCUACAAUGGCGUAUACAAAGGGAAGCGACCCUGCGAAGGCAAGCGGAACUCAUAAAGUACGUCGUAGUCCGGAUUGGAGUCUGCAACUCGACUCCAUGAAGUCGGAAUCGCUAGUAAUCGUAGAUCAGAAUGCUACGGUGAAUACGUUCCCGGGCCUUGUACACACCGCCCGUCACACCAUGGGAGUGGGUUGCAAAAGAAGUAGGUAGCUUAACCUCCGGGAGGGCGCUUACCACUUUGUGAUUCAUGACUGGGGUGAAGUCGUAACAAGGUAACCA
RNAcentral lists this ribosomal RNA (727 nucleotides) under uncultured Morganella sp. RNAcentral describes it as "bacterial SSU rRNA". It matches the Rfam family "Bacterial small subunit ribosomal RNA", at positions 776 to 1502 of the family's 1533-position model. Lineage: Bacteria; Pseudomonadati; Pseudomonadota; Gammaproteobacteria; Enterobacterales; Morganellaceae. The record is from RNAcentral.